RNAcentral lists this ribosomal RNA (301 nucleotides) under uncultured bacterium. RNAcentral's name for it is "partial 16S ribosomal RNA". It matches the Rfam family "Bacterial small subunit ribosomal RNA", at positions 509 to 808 of the family's 1533-position model. The record is from RNAcentral.
CAGUAGCCGGCGGUAAUACAGAGGGUGCGAGCGUUAAUCGGAGUUACUGGGCGUAAAGGGCGCGUAGGCGGUGAGGAGGGUGUGAUGUGAAAGCCCCGGGCUUAACCUGGGAAGUGCAUCGCAAACCGUCUCACUGGAGUAUAAGAGAGGGUGGCGGAAUUUCCGGUGUAGCGGUGAAAUGCGUAGAGAUCGGAAGGAACGUCAAUGGCGAAGGCAGCCACCUGGCUUAAUACUGACGCUGAAGCGCGAAAGCGUGGGGAGCGAACAGGAUUAGAUACCCGAGUAGUCCCUGUCUCUUAUA